Oncorhynchus keta (chum salmon) is the source of this 3879-nucleotide long non-coding RNA. RefSeq lists it as uncharacterized. NCBI's taxonomy places the organism in Eukaryota, Metazoa, Chordata, Actinopteri, Salmoniformes, Salmonidae. The transcript is spliced from 3 exons. The record is from RefSeq and is a predicted model, not a curated record.
UAAUUGCUAGGUGAUAUGAUGCAAUACUAGAUUCAAAGGCCUAGACUACUUCAUCCUAAUGCAAGUGUCAAACCAUGCUCCCGCUCUCCCUCUGCCCUUCUUUACGCACACCUGUCACCAUCAUUACGCGCAGCAGCGCUCAUUGGACUCACCUGGACUCCUUCCCUUUGUUGAUUGCCCCGCCUAUAACUGUCAGCUCCCCCUUUUGUUCUCUGUGUCAUCAUUGGCGUCGUUAUUUUUCCCCCUGUCCAGACGCUGUUCCUGUUCUGUUUCAUGUCUGUUUUUCAUUAGCUGUUCUCCCUGUACCUGCUUCUCGUCUACCAGCAUCGAUCCUUACAGUUAUAUCAGCUGUUUUGGUGAACCACUCCCGCAUCUGAACUGCCUGACACAGAGGGCACAGCAUGAUCAUAGGUAUGUUUUUAUGUGAGAGAGGAAGCCAGUCCUGUCAUUGCCACCUCACCCACCUUCAACCCUUUCACAAGUACCAUCACACCUGUGUGAUCAUUCUACAGUGGUCCCUGAAGCGGUAUGAUUAAAUCCGUGUGAUUAGAACGCUUAUUUAAAAAUGCCAGUUUUGAAUUACGCAACAAUCAGCAUUUGACUGCGCCACACCUUUUUCCAGAAACUAUUUACACAAACACAGUUCUUUCAAAGUUAUGUCCAGAAUGUGAGCUGUUUAUUUUUGGAUGCUGUUCAGAUAUUCACAGAAGUAUCUAUAGCAUAACACAAUCGUCCAAACCUGGAAAAAUGUAGGCUACAUGCGCUAACUGAGGAAAGAUUGACGCAACACAAGCGGUCAUAUUUGUGUAACUCUCCUCUGACAAACUACAAUAUGAAUUAGCUAAUAGCAAUUACUAUUUAUAAUUAAUCACAUCAUGGUUGAGCUCUCCAUUGAUCGGAAUAAUUGAGUAAAACAAUUUCUAAAAAUCGCGUGCAGCCAUGCUUUUUUUCCUCACAGAAACCAAAGAUAAGAGAAGACAAGAGUUUGGUCUGUUUACCAUCGUUCACAUCCCACCAUUCACUUCCUGAAGUUCUCAAAAAAGGAGUGAACCCUUACUCACCUCACCUCAAUUUGUUAUAGCAUCUUUGGUCCUACAGACAAUUACGUGAAACCCAGAAUGCAUUGUAUGUCAACAAAAAUGUGUCCACACACACAUAGCUGGAAUUAGCUAAUAAUUACCACACAAAACAUUUUUUGAUAGUGAUUUAUUGAUUCAAAUGGCAUGUGCCGGCAGUCAAUCAUGUAACCUCUCACUCCCACUCUGAGCCAUUCAGUGUUGUUUAUGUAUGCAGCUAGUGAGCUAAGCUGUAGCAUUAGCAAUGUCUUUCAAAAAGGAGACAACUCACAAACACGGAAAUUCUGGAUAUUUUUUAAAAUUCUGACAAUGCGUCUGUAUGAAAGUUUGGAAUCAGAUUCUGACAGUGAGGAGCUGCCCCCCAGCCAUUGAGAACCCUGAAUCUGAGGACCCCUUGUCCACUGACAACGUCCUAGUUCCCUUUGAAGAUGCUGGUGGUGAUGGAGGCAGACUGAAAAUGGAUGAAGUACAGGAGUUCUAUUGUAGCUGGAAGGCUGCCAGCCAUUUCACCCCUCCUGGCCCUGCUGUUUGCUUUGAUGAGUCCCAGUCUGAAGUGCAACACCCCUUGCCAUUUCCAUCUGAGGCAGAGUGAUUCAAGUUGUUUCUGACAGAGGAUCUGGUGGGAGACAUAGUAGAGACCAAUCACUAUGCCUUGGAGAGCCAGGAGUGGGGGGGGCAACCACAAUUAGUGAAAUGUAUACCUUCCUGGUGACAGUCCUCAUGGGGAUAGUAAAGAAGAACUCCCUAAGAGAAUAAUGGAGCACAGAUCCUGUGUUUGCAACUCCCUUCUUUGCCACCCUCUUUUCCCAAGUCCGCUUCCUAGUUCUGCUGCGAUGAGUGCAUUUCAUCAGCAAUGCUACUGCCAUCCUAAAUGACCCGUUAUACAAAAUAAGAAAUGUCAACAGUUGUCAGUAAAGUGGCAUGACAAACGAGACAUCCAUGUCCUCUCCACUGUCCAUACAGCAACCUUGUCGGCCACAGGGAAGGUGGACCACCUCAGGGGAGAGAGACAAACCAGACUGUGUGCUUGACUAUAACCUCAAAAUGGGGGCAGUGGAUAAGGUGGACAUGAUAAACAGCUUUGUGGAAUGCACUCAGAAAAUGACCACGUGGUACAAGGAGAUAUUUUUCCAGGAUAGCUUCAAAUUACAAUAAGCCAAUACUUCUGACGCAAUUAGCAUUGUUUUACAGAGCUAAUAGAAGAAUGUAGCUAGCUACAUAAGCACGAUUGAAUAUAACACCAUAAAGGUUAUGAAAUGAGUAACGUUACCUCGCGUGUCCGCGGAUAUAAGGAAUAUACACACAUAUAUUAUGCUCCAUACACAGUGAGCUACAGUAGAAACGGUAUAAAACCAUAUAUAGAAACUAUUAUAAUGUAAUAAGGCACUUACUUUGAUAGAAACACAUUCUGGUUUUGAGCCUGGGUGUCUGUAGGGACGCCUCCAGCGCUGAGAUGCUGUGCCUUAGACAGCUGCGCCACUUGGGAGUCAUAAGGCCAGGGUAGCUUCAAAAUACAACACAUGCUAAUACUUCUCUAAUGCAAUUAGCAUUGUUUUCCAGAGGUAAUAGAAGAAUGUAGCUAGCUACCUAAGCAUUGAGUAUAACACCAUAAAAUGAGUAACGUUACCUCGUUUGUCCACGGUUAUAAGGAAUAUACACAAAAAUAUGAUGCUACAGUAGAAACGGCGUAACACGACAUGCAGAAACUAUUAUAACAUAAUAAGGCACUUACUUCGAUAGAAACGCACACAUUUCCAAAGUUAUUAUUGGUAACGAAAUCAACUAUGACUGCGAUGCAGGCAACAGACGGACAAUGUGAACACGUGUGCGGGAUGGGAGAUGAGCAAAUAUCUGCAGAAUUGAACUGCACAAACAAUUGGGAAGUGUUUGGGGAAUUUUGUCCAGGUCAGAAUUAUCCCAAAAAUGAUUUGGUCCAAAAAAGUUUUAAAAAAUUACAACUUUUAUGUGAAUGAAUGGGGCGGAACACACCUCAAUUCAUACUGCUCUUAGAAAAUAAAAAACUUGUUCGAAAAUAAUUUGAAAUUGACAAAUUGAAAACAGCCUAUAAAUAAAAACAGGCUGCGUGCCUUGGUUUGAGGGCAACGACGGAUUAAAUGUACUCUUGCGUAACAAUCACAUUCUGGAACGGAGAGAACGUGCAUAAAAAAAACUCACACUGGGGCGUCCGUUAGAGAUAUUCACGCAUGAAAGCGUUAAGAUAACCUUCAGAACAACUGGGGACCCAAGGCUGGUUAGGAGACACCGCAAUUGUGAUGAACUGAGAGAAUAUUAGAGUAGUACUGUAAUUCAUGAAUCACAUACUGUCUGCCACUGUUCUUAACUUAAAUGCAUGUAUGUAUUUAUAACACCUAGAUAAUGAACUUCUUUCAACAAAGCGUUUCACAUUCUCCACUGGUUGAAAUUAAGUGUCUCAUUGAAAUACUAUCCUGUGUCCUCAGAUUAAUGCAGAUGAAGGGAGUUAGAUAUGCAUAUUUUUUUUUCUGUAUAUAUGAAUUACAAAUCAAUCAUGUUUCUAGUCUAUUGCAUAGUUACAAUGUGUAAUCAUUGAUGUCCCAGGAGCAGGAGCGGUAAACACUGUUGAAGUGUAUAACUGUAAUACAUACAUGCAGACACAGCAUCAUUCAGAUAAUGGAGUUUAAUAUGACUGAAAAAUAACGUCUCAGAGAUUCAUACCUGAACCGCCAAGGAGAGUACAUCAGUGAAUAGAUUCAAUGAACAGGCUACAAUGUGGGAAUCUCAUGUGUGGUAAUAACUACAGUACAUGUGUAUAUAGGACUUGCGU